Molecule: long non-coding RNA, 408 nt
Filed under: Brassica napus (rape)
Lineage: Eukaryota; Viridiplantae; Streptophyta; Magnoliopsida; Brassicales; Brassicaceae
Description: long non-coding RNA (BNAP_LNC005799)
Source: RNAcentral
UGAUUUGUGGUUUGGUAAUAAUUAAAGAUGUUUUUGUUUAGAAAAUGUAAGAAAUUAAUGAUUUUCUUAAUUUGUGUACACAAUUCUAAAAUGACUUAUAGGAGUAUUAAAAAACGGAGGGAGUAUAACUUUAAGGAACAUAGGGAGUAUUUUCUUUGGUUGAUAUUUGGACUGGAUGGUCGCUGUUCCAGCCAGCAGCUGCGUUGAUGCCUCCCUUUCUCACGCAGUAAGGUGCGGGGGCACAGCUUUACAGUGGCUAAUUCGGUGGAGCUUUGGCUAAGCUCCACAACGUUGUAGUUAAGGCUAUACACAUUGAGCAUUGAAUGUGGCAAUAGAUUCUUCACUCGUUACUUGUAUUUUCUUUUUUCCCUUGCUUACAAAAUCUUAAAAUCUUAGGGUUUAAGGUUU